AGUCGCAACCCCCUGAAAAUCUUAUAAUUUAUCUUCAAGGAAGUGGGCGUGGCACCUUAAUGGCGGAGUGUAAUGAGGCUCUUUUGGAGAGCAUCUUAACUCCUCUGUACGACACAGCUAUUAUCUCAUAUUGACUGAUGUAGACUCUUUUAACUGUUUAUUUAAAUUUAUGAAAUUUGCGUGUGGUUGAAUGCUUUUGGCUCCUUUAUUCUUUUUCAUAACAGUUAAGCAGUGAGAUAGGCAAAGCUGAAGGAACAUAAUUUGGUUUAUGAUGGUAUCGACUUGCUUCAAGGUAAUGUUUUUUACAAGCAAAUAUUGCUGCACUUCGGUUAUGAGUUGUGUUUGGCAAAUGGCGGAAAAUAAAAGACUGAUAUUCAUCUUUCCUGCUAGUUACGGAACUUAACUGGCCAUCAGCUCUCUUGCCACAUAGGUGACACUGCUUUGGUGGUGCUUCAGCCAUUUGGGAUACAAGAUAAAUGAUGUAUGCUUUCCUAUUAAUAAAGCACAGAUAAGUUUUAUUCCUUUUCAUGAGUUUUUAAUUUUAAAGGUUAAAUUAUGCCCAGUCAAUAAUUACUUUAUUGUUUU
This is a long non-coding RNA of Amphimedon queenslandica, 585 nucleotides long. RefSeq lists it as uncharacterized. The record is from RefSeq and is a predicted model, not a curated record. Lineage: Eukaryota; Metazoa; Porifera; Demospongiae; Haplosclerida; Niphatidae. The transcript has 3 exons.